Molecule: ribosomal RNA, 253 nt
Filed under: uncultured bacterium
Lineage: Bacteria
Description: partial 16S ribosomal RNA
Rfam family: Bacterial small subunit ribosomal RNA
Source: RNAcentral
UACGUAGGGGGCAAGCGUUGUCCGGAAUCAUUGGGCGUAAAGCGCGUGUAGGCGGCUUGGUAAGUCCGCUCUGAAAGCCCGGGGCUCAACCCCGGGAGGCGGGUGGAUACUGUCAAGCUCGAGUCCGGAAGAGGAGAGUGGAAUUCCUGGUGUAGCGGUGAAAUGCGCAGAUAUCAGGAAGAACACCCGUGGCGAAGGCGGCUCUCUGGUACGUGACUGACGCUGAGACGCGAAAGCGUGGGGAGCGAACAGG